UUUGUCAUCGGUUGCUUGUGCUAAACUGGAAAGAAAAUAUCAGCUACCACUCAGAGACACCUCUAUACAUGGACCAAAUGAGCAAAGCUCUGCUUCAUGAUGCUCAGAGGGAGAAAUCUGUGGGACUGAAGCUAUGCAAGUGUUUCACAAAAACAAUUACCUGCUUAUUUUGAAAAUGGCAAAGAACAUUCCAAUUUCACUGACCUAAAGAUCAAGAGAGAAGGGACAUGCAGAGACAUUGAAAAAUCUUGACAGUUUUGACUAAGGUCUCUGGUGCUGACAGAUCCUUUUAUAGAUCAGUUACAGGAAAGGUUCAACCAACAACCAACAAGCUCUUCUUCAGGGAUAUGUGUGAUGUUAAUCAGGGAGAACUACAUAUCUCACAGGAUAUAUCAAUUAACAAUUGAGAAGUAACAGAACCAGAAGAUAUGAAGAGGAUAUUUAGAAGUUGAAAUGAAAUGAGGAGGGGAGUACAAAUUGCAACCAAUGCUAAAGUAUCCAUU
This is a long non-coding RNA of Pristis pectinata (smalltooth sawfish), 503 nucleotides long. RefSeq lists it as uncharacterized. The transcript has 4 exons. NCBI's taxonomy places the organism in Eukaryota, Metazoa, Chordata, Chondrichthyes, Rhinopristiformes, Pristidae. The record is from RefSeq and is a predicted model, not a curated record.